AUAGAUACCCGGGUAGUCCUAGCCGUAAACGAUGAACACUAGGCGUAGUCGGUAUCGACCCCGGCUGUGCCGUAGCUAACGCAUUAAGUGUUCCGCCUGGGGAGUACGGCCGCAAGGCUAAACUCAAAGGGAAUUGGACGGGGCCCGCACAAGCAGCGGAGCGUGUGGUUUAAUUCGUCGCAACGCGAAGAACCUUACCAGGGCUUGACAUGUGGCGGAAAACGGCGGAAACGUCGUCCUCCCGCAAGGGACCGUCAUGCAGGUGUUGCAUGGCUGUCGUCAGCUCGUGUCGUGAGAUGUUGGGUUAAGUCCCGCAACGAGCGCAACCCCCGUGGCAUGUUGUAUCUCUCAUGCCAGACUGCCGAGAGAAACUCGGAGGAAGGUGGGGAUGACGCCAAGUCAGCAUGGCCCUUACGUCCUGGGCUACACACACGCUACAAUGGCCGGUACAACGGGUUGCCAAACCGCGAGGUGGAGCUAAUCCCUUAAAGCCGGUCUCAGUUCGGAUUGCAGGCUGCAACUCGCCUGCA
RNAcentral lists this ribosomal RNA (530 nucleotides) under uncultured bacterium. Its description in RNAcentral is "bacterial SSU rRNA". It matches the Rfam family "Bacterial small subunit ribosomal RNA", at positions 778 to 1320 of the family's 1533-position model. The record is from RNAcentral.